RNAcentral lists this ribosomal RNA (478 nucleotides) under uncultured bacterium. RNAcentral's name for it is "partial 16S ribosomal RNA". It matches the Rfam family "Bacterial small subunit ribosomal RNA", at positions 28 to 507 of the family's 1533-position model. The record is from RNAcentral.
GAUGAACGCUGGCGGCGUGCUUAACACAUGCAAGUCGAACGGGAAACCUUUUAUUGUAGCUUCGGCAGAUUUGGCUGGUUUCUAGUGGCGGACGGGUGAGUAACGCGUGGGUAACCUGCCUUAUACAGGGGGAUAACAACCAGAAAUGGUUGCUAAUACCGCAUAAGCGCACAGGACCGCAUGGUCCGGUGUGAAAAACUCCGGUGGUAUAAGAUGGACCCGCGUUGGAUUAGCUAGCUGGCAGGGUAACGGCCUACCAAGGCGACGAUCCAUAGCCGGCAUGAGAGGGGGAACGGCCACAUUGGGACUGAGACACGGCCCAGACUCCUACGGGAGGCAGCAGUGGGGAAUAUUGCACAAUGGGGGAAACCCUGAUGCAGCGACGCCGCGUGAAGGAAGAAGUAUCUCGGUAUGUAAACUUCUAUCAGCAGGGAAGAUAGUGACGGUACCUGACUAAGAAGCCCCGGCUAACUACGUG